AGAGUGAAAAAUCUAACAAAGAACACAUUGCAAAGCUGCAUGAAAAUUCAGAUUAAUUUUGGAAUUUACGAGAGGUGUUUGUUGGAUCGUGCAGGAGCCGAGGAUAAAGUACUCUACAACACAG
Molecule: long non-coding RNA, 124 nt
Organism: Pantherophis guttatus
Lineage: Eukaryota; Metazoa; Chordata; Lepidosauria; Squamata; Colubridae
Source: RefSeq, a predicted model, not a curated record